AAGUCGUAACAAGGUUUCCGUAGGUGAACCUGCGGAAGGAUCAUUAUUGAAUAAACCUGGCUUGGUUGAUGCUGGUCUUUUCGGAGACAUGUGCACACCUUGUCAUCUUUAUAUCUCCACCUGUGCACUUUUUGUAGACCUGGAUUCAACUUUCCGAGGAAACUCGGUUGUGAGGAAUUGCUUAAUAGGCUUUCCUUGUUAGUUUCCAGGGCUAUGUUUUCAUAUACACCCUAUGAAUGUAACAGAAUGUCAUUAUUAGGCUUAAUUGUCUUAUAAACUAUAUACAACUUUCAGCAACGGAUCUCUUGGCUCUC
Molecule: unclassified non-coding RNA, 314 nt
Filed under: Hypholoma fasciculare
Lineage: Eukaryota; Fungi; Basidiomycota; Agaricomycetes; Agaricales; Strophariaceae
Description: partial internal transcribed spacer region
Rfam family: Eukaryotic small subunit ribosomal RNA (bases 1-46)
Source: RNAcentral